RNAcentral lists this ribosomal RNA (468 nucleotides) under uncultured bacterium. Its description in RNAcentral is "partial 16S ribosomal RNA". It matches the Rfam family "Bacterial small subunit ribosomal RNA", at positions 28 to 507 of the family's 1533-position model. The record is from RNAcentral.
GACGAACGCUGGCGGCGUGCUUAACACAUGCAAGUCGAACGGAAAGGCCCGGCUUUGGUGGGGUGCUCAAGGGGCAAACGGGUGAGUAACACGGGAGUAACCUGCCCUUGACUUUGGGAUAACUUCAGAAAACGGGGGCUAAUACCGGAUAGGAGCUCCUGCUGCAGGGUGGGGGUGGGAAAGUUUCGGCGGUUGGGGAUGGACUCGCGGCUUAUCAGCUUGUUGGUGGGGUAGUGGCUUACCAAGGCUUUGACGGGUAGCCGGCCUGAGAGGGUGACCGGCCACAUUGGGACUGAGAUACGGCCCAGACUCCUACGGGAGGCAGCAGUGGGGAAUAUUGCACAAUGGGCGGAAGCCUGAUGCAGCAACGCCGCGUGCGGGAUGACGGCCUUCGGGUUGUAAACCGCUUUCGCCUGUGACGAAGCGUGAGUGACGGUAAUGGGUAAAGAAGCACCGGCUAACUACGUG